UGGGGAAUUUUGGACAAUGGACGCAAGUCUGAUCCAGCCAUGCCGCGUGCGGGAAGAAGGUCUUCGGAUUGUAAAGCACUUUAAGUUGGGAGGAAGGGCAUUAACCUAAUACGUUGGUGUCUUGACGUUACCGACAGAAUAAGCACCGGCUAACUCUGUGCCAGCAGCCGCGGUAAUACAGAGGGUGCAAGCGUUAAUCGGAAUUACUGGGCGUAAAGCGCGCGUAGGUGGUUUGUUAAGUUGGAUGUGAAAUCCCCGGGCUCAACCUGGGAACUGCAUUCAAAACUGACUGACUAGAGUAUGGUAGAGGGUGGUGGAAUUUCCUGUGUAGCGGUGAAAUGCGUAGAUAUAGGAAGGAACACCAGUGGCGAAGGCGACCACCUGGACUGAUACUGACACUGAGGUGCGAAAGCGUGGGGAGCAAACA
This 427-nucleotide ribosomal RNA is filed under the name uncultured bacterium. RNAcentral's name for it is "bacterial SSU rRNA". It matches the Rfam family "Bacterial small subunit ribosomal RNA", at positions 355 to 774 of the family's 1533-position model. The record is from RNAcentral.